AGCGAACGCUGGCGGCAGGCCUAACACAUGCAAGUCGAACGGAUCCUUCGGGAUUAGUGGCGGACGGGUGAGUAACACGUGGGAACGUGCCCUUUGGUUCGGAACAACUCAGGGAAACUUGAGCUAAUACCGGAUGUGCCCUUCGGGGGAAAGAUUUAUCGCCAUUGGAGCGGCCCGCGUCUGAUUAGCUAGUUGGUGAGGUAACGGCCCACCAAGGCGACGAUCAGUAGCUGGUCUGAGAGGAUGAUCAGCCACACUGGGAAUGAGACACGGCCCGGACUCCUACGGGAGGCAGCAGUGGGGGAUCUUGCGCAAUGGGCGAAAGCCUGACGCAGCCAUGCCGCGUGAAUGAUGAAGGUCUUAGGAUUGUAAAAUUCUUUCAGCGGGGACGAUAAUGACGGUACCCGCAGAAGAAGCUCCGGCUAACUUCGUG
Molecule: ribosomal RNA, 433 nt
Filed under: uncultured bacterium
Lineage: Bacteria
Description: partial 16S ribosomal RNA
Rfam family: Bacterial small subunit ribosomal RNA
Source: RNAcentral